CCAGCAGCCGCGGUAAUUCCAGCUCCGCCAGUGUAUAUCUAUGCUGCUGCGGUUAAAAAGCUCGUAGUUGGAUCUACGUGUCAGAAGCCAGUCCACCUUAUGGGUGUGCACUGAUCUUCGGCACUGAAAGGAUGGUUCGCUCUUGGUGCUCUUAACCGGGUGUCUUGAGUGUCCAUCAAGUUUACUUUGAAAAAAUUAGAGUGCUUAAAACAGGCGGUUUGCCUGAAUAUUCGUGCAUGGAAUAAUAGAAUAGGACUUCGGUUUUAUUUUGUUGGUUUUAGAAACACGAAGUAAUGAUUAAGAGGGACAGACGGGGGCAUUAGUAUUGCGACGUUAGAGGUGAAAUUCUUGGAUCGUCGCAAGACUAACAA
This 371-nucleotide ribosomal RNA is filed under the name uncultured eukaryote. Its description in RNAcentral is "SSU rRNA". It matches the Rfam family "Eukaryotic small subunit ribosomal RNA", at positions 567 to 942 of the family's 1831-position model. The record is from RNAcentral.